Molecule: long non-coding RNA, 349 nt
Filed under: Olea europaea (common olive)
Lineage: Eukaryota; Viridiplantae; Streptophyta; Magnoliopsida; Lamiales; Oleaceae
Description: long non-coding RNA (OEUR_LNC002257)
Source: RNAcentral
CGAGAGAUUAAACUAACAUCAUAUUUAGUCUUCUCACAUUUUGAAUUUCAUUGUUUCAAUAUUCUUCCAUCCAGAAUGAAGAGGACAGAAUUCUGAAAUCCACAAAUUCAAAAUUCUUCCACAAUUCUACCCAUAAUCAUCAUUCUACAAUCCAAAAAUCCAAGGACAGAAUUCUAAAUUCAGAAAUCCCAAUUCAGUGUUGCAUCCCCAUUAACAGUAAAAGUUGGGCCAAACCAUAUCUCUAGAAAAUCACCAAUAAUUUUUUUUCCUCAAGAAUAUGCUAUACAAAUGAUGGCUUUCUAAUUGCUAUAUCACAAAGACAACUCUAGCAGUUUGUAUGACUCAGAAG